Molecule: ribosomal RNA, 253 nt
Filed under: uncultured bacterium
Lineage: Bacteria
Description: partial 16S ribosomal RNA
Rfam family: Bacterial small subunit ribosomal RNA
Source: RNAcentral
UACGUAGGGUGCGAGCGUUGUCCGGAAUUAUUGGGCGUAAAGGGCUCGUAGGCGGUUUGUCGCGUCGGGAGUGAAAACCCAGGGCUUAACCCUGGGCUGGCUUCCGAUACGGGCAGACUAGAGGUAUGCAGGGGAGAACGGAAUUCCUGGUGUAGCGGUGAAAUGCGCAGAGAUGUGGAGGAACACCGAUGGCGAAGGCAGCCUCCUGGGCCAACACUGACGCUCAUGCACGAAAGCGUGGGGAGCAAACAGG